This 371-nucleotide ribosomal RNA is filed under the name uncultured bacterium. Its description in RNAcentral is "bacterial SSU rRNA". It matches the Rfam family "Bacterial small subunit ribosomal RNA", at positions 527 to 896 of the family's 1533-position model. The record is from RNAcentral.
AGAGGGGGCAAGCGUUAUUCGGAAUUAUUGGGCGUAAAGGGCGCGUAGGCGGCUUGGCAAGUGGAAGGUGAAAUCCCUCGGCUUAACCGAGGAACUGCCCUCCAAACUGCUUCGCUUGAGACCGGGAGAGGUGAGUGGAAUUCCCAGUGUAGCGGUGAAAUGCGUAGAUAUUGGGAGGAACACCAGUGGCGAAGGCGGCUCACUGGACCGGUACUGACGCUGAUGCGCGAAAGCGUGGGGAGCAAACGGGAUUAGAUACCCCGGUAGUCCACGCCGUAAACGAUGAGUGCUUGGUGUAGCGGGUAUCGACCCCUGCUGUGCCGAAGUCAACACAUUAAGCACUCCGCCUGGGGAGUACGGUCGCAAGGCUG